AGGAUAAUAGUUAACCAUAACAUUUAAUUUGCACUUAAAAAGUAUUACAAAUGUAAUUUAUCUUA
This 65-nucleotide transfer RNA is filed under the name Stimulopalpus japonicus. RNAcentral describes it as "tRNA-Ala". Lineage: Eukaryota; Metazoa; Arthropoda; Insecta; Psocodea; Amphientomidae. The record is from RNAcentral.